RNAcentral lists this long non-coding RNA (567 nucleotides) under Brassica napus (rape). RNAcentral describes it as "long non-coding RNA (BNAP_LNC016228)". The record is from RNAcentral. Lineage: Eukaryota; Viridiplantae; Streptophyta; Magnoliopsida; Brassicales; Brassicaceae.
UGUUGCACGGCUCUUUGCAACAAGCAAGUUUCCCCAGAAAAUGGUUAACCACAUCCACUCUAACUUGAGCCAUGACCACAACCAUCAUAACCCUAACCUCAUUCUAUCCAUAACUAUCCCAGAAACAAGCCGUCUACUCCACAUCCACUCUACCUUUGAGACAUGAUCACAACCAUCUUAAUCCUGACCUCUUCCAAGACCACUUCCAUCCUAACCCAUCCAUUGACCACAUCCAUCGUAAUCCCAUCCAUAACCAUACCUUUGUCUCCCACAACCACUCUACCUAGACCAUGACCCCAACAAUGAACUCAAUGACCUACUUAAGGCAAUUCAACGUAAUAAAAUUAAAGUUAAUAUUUUGCAUCUACCAUCCUUGACCACAUAUAUCUGACCACAAAACAAUUGUGUUACCCUCCUUAAUUUACCGAACGAUUGAGUUUAACAUAUUUUAAUUUCAUGGUUUCAAACAAAUCUCACUACUCAAUAAACUUACCAAUUAAUUGUAACAGAAAAAACUAACUAGUGUUUAAUUUUUGUUUGACCAGAUUUUAACUCUCAUUCCAAGAG